RNAcentral lists this unclassified non-coding RNA (967 nucleotides) under uncultured Prochlorococcus sp. RNAcentral's name for it is "partial may contain 16S ribosomal RNA, 16S-23S ribosomal RNA intergenic spacer, and 23S ribosomal RNA". The stretch from base 1 to 93 matches the Rfam family "Bacterial small subunit ribosomal RNA", at positions 1441 to 1533 of the family's 1533-position model. Lineage: Bacteria; Bacillati; Cyanobacteriota; Cyanophyceae; Synechococcales; Prochlorococcaceae. The record is from RNAcentral.
UUGUGGAGGAGGACGCCGAAGGUGGGGCUAAUGACUGGGGUGAAGUCGUAACAAGGUAGCCGUACCGGAAGGUGCGGCUGGAUCACCUCCUAACAGGGAGACAACAAAAUGUUUAAUAUUAUUAUUUUGUCACCUUAGGUCGAUCGGUAUCUCACGUUCUUAAUUUAUUAAGAAUUUCAAUUCCUAAGUUUUUCUAGGUCACACCCAUUAUUUUUCCUGGGCCAUUAGCUCAGGUGGUUAGAGCGCACCCCUGAUAAGGGUGAGGUCGUAAAAUUUCCGUCCAGUAUGAAGUCGUUACUUUAACCCUUGUGGAGGAGGACGCCGAAGGUGGGGCUAAUGACUGGGGUGAAGUCGUAACAAGGUAGCCGUACCGGAAGGUGCGGCUGGAUCACCUCCUAACAGGGAGACAACAAAAUGUUUUGAGAUGUGAUCAAAUUCUGAACGAAUCUAGCUUCCUAAUAAAAUUAUUAAGAUGCUGGACUCAUUGAAUUAAUUUCAUUGUUUUCAGAGAACCUUGACAACUGCAUAGAUUAUUUUUAAAGACAAUAAGCAUCUUUAAUGAUGCAGAUUUAUUAUUUGUGCAAAUGCAUUAAUAACAAUUCUAUUAAGCUGAUGCUUCAAUUUUGAAGUUAUUGGUCAAGCUACAAAGGGCUCACGGAGGAUACCUAGGCACACAUAGGCGAUGAGGUCACCCUGCUUUCAUAAAUUGGAGAAAGGAAAUGUUUUGAGAUGUGAUCAAAUUCUGAACGAAUCUAGCUUCCUAAUAAAAUUAUUAAGAUGCUGGACUCAUUGAAUUAAUUUCAUUGUUUUCAGAGAACCUUGACAACUGCAUAGAUUAUUUUUAAAGACAAUAAGCAUCUUUAAUGAUGCAGAUUUAUUAUUUGUGCAAAUGCAUUAAUAACAAUUCUAUUAAGCUGAUGCUUCAAUUUUGAAGUUAUUGGUCAAGCUACAAAGGGCUCACGGAGGA